GAGUUGAGGAAUAUACGAGAUUCUGAUAUUUUUGUAAAUUUUUUGCCUAAUUUUUGCCAUUUGCAUUUGUUCCCUACAAUUCAGAGUUUGAUGAAUAAACCAGAUACUCUGUACAUUCACUCUGCAUUCACACACUCACUAACAUCAGACAAAUACAUCCCAGACACCAACACUGGGUCUUAUAAAAUCUGAAUUAUAUUAUGUGUACACAUGUCAGAAUUCUUCAUUCUCGACCAUUCUAUUCAUAUUCCUUAUCCAACUC
This is a non-coding RNA of Pelobates cultripes (western spadefoot toad), 262 nucleotides long. The record is from the annotation of a GenBank genome assembly. Lineage: Eukaryota; Metazoa; Chordata; Amphibia; Anura; Pelobatidae.